RNAcentral lists this long non-coding RNA (3228 nucleotides) under Daucus carota (carrot). RNAcentral describes it as "long non-coding RNA (DCAR_LNC003299)". The record is from RNAcentral. Lineage: Eukaryota; Viridiplantae; Streptophyta; Magnoliopsida; Apiales; Apiaceae.
ACAGCUGCCAUUUUUUCUUAAAUCGAAGAUAAAUUGUGUCUAUAAUUUUGUAUGUGUGUAUAUUAGUUGUGGAUUGGAUAAGCGAGUUUUGAGGAGAGGUUGAAAUGAAUAUAGAGAUUGGAUAGGAAGGUGGGUGUAUAUAUAGAGAGAGAUGUGGGGAGAGAGAUUGGGAGAGAGAGAGAUUAGACGGAAGCUGUGGGUUAAGGAGAUAAAAGCGAAUGUCAUUAUCCAUUGGCCGUGAGAAAGUCUAUCUUAUCCGACCCCUUGCUUUGAGUUUGGUCCUAGUCAUGCUUUUUUAACUUUUCUUUAUCCUUUCGAAUAUUCCGGAUUUUAAUUUAAUUUGAAAAUUAUUGUUUGUUGCUUAAUUAUUGUUUUUCUUGUCCUUUUUAUUUCAGCGUACCUCCUAUCGUCGGUGGCUAGUAGAUAUUUCUGGAUCAAAAUUUACAGUCAUAUGUUCAUUCAUAAAGCUAGUGGUGACAAUCAAAAUGAAAAAGAGCGAGUAUUUUACUUUUUAUAAAUAGGUUUAUGACUGAAAUACAAUUUUUUAAAUUUUUCUACAUUUAAGUUCUAUACCUCUGAGUUUCUGACUUGAUUUUGGAAAAAACUACUACUAUAAUUUCGAUGAUUAGCUGUGUAAAAUACAUAGAAAAAAUAUUAAAAAUUAGAUUACUUGCGGUGAGAAAUCAUAUGACUUGACGUGGCGCCACGAUAUAGUUGGCACGUAUUUCAAUGAACGAAAAGUUGGAGUCAUUUCCAAAGAUUAAACUGAAUUAAUUAUCCCUAUAAAUUUUUGAAAACAAAAGAAUAGUCUGACAAAAAAAUGAAGGAGAGUCCUUUUAAUUGUAAAUGAUCAUCUGGAUAAGAGCAUAGACACGUGUACCACAUGUAGUGGAGCGCUUCUUUCAAAGCUGCCGGGUAAACAGUACACACGAGAUCUACUUUAUUUCGUUUAUGUUGAACACGGGUAAUUCUAUUACACACGGUUUCGAGUUUAUUUAUUUGACCGUUCGCUGUUGAAAUGUAGCCGGAUCUCGUUUUAAUAUUCUCCAAGAUUCUUUCCAGGGAAGUAUGAUCAUUCGUUUAUAUAUUUCUCUGUCAAAUGUGAGUCAUCUGUGAUUCGAUUAGGAGCAUCUCCACCAUGAAGACCCCUUAGCUAAAAUUUUAAUUAUCAUAUCAAAAAUAAAAAUUAUAGCUAAUGGCUUCAAAAAUUUAAACUCCAACCAUCCCCACCUGUUAUCUAUAAUUAUAGUCAACCUGCUAUGGAUGACUAUAUUUGUCGAUCCACUACAGGUCUGUAAGAAAAUUUGUAGAAUAUUACACAUCACUUAUUACCAUAUCAAAGUCAUAUAUUCUAUUUAUAACAAUCGAAAAUAUUAAUAACAUACUAUUUUUAAAUUACAGCCAACCAAUAUAGUCAUAACCAUCGAAGCAAAAUGUCUUACGGGUUCAGCAAAUUUUACAUAAUAUUUUACCGGUCCAAUUUAGCCAACCAUUACAGCCAACGCCGUUCGAGAUGCUCUAAUGAUUAAACAUGGUUAAUUCAUUUUGUUUUUCGAGUAUACUACUUCCUCAAUUUUAUUGAACUAGCUGAGAAGCCGUGCGUUGCGGCGGUNUAUUGAGCUAAUACAUGAAUCAAAAAUUCCCAUUUUCAAAAUACACAAACAAGUUUCCUUAUACUGGGGCGUGAAAUAUAAAUUAGAAUCAAGUUAAAAUUUAUAAAUGAUUAAAAUGUUUGAGAAAUAAGUAGAAAUCAUGAAACAAAAACUAAAAUAAGUGUUUAUAAUUUAUAAAUCAAGUCGGCUUUUAAGCCAUGACCAAACACCAUCUACAACAGGAAUUUUAGUGGGGAUUUAGAUCAUGAUGAUCACAACUCAUCGAAGGAAGAAAUUGCAAACAUAACUUGGCAAAACAACAUUAAAAUAUUGAGCCAAGCGUGAGCCAAGCGUAUAACAACAUUUGGAUUCAACUUAUUAGAAUGUACAUACACCGGAAACAAACACAACGCCCUAAACUCAUCAAAUCAAUCUUCAUAAACCGCGAUUGAUCUGACGUCAACUUCAACUGGGCGGUCGGUUCCAAUAAACUCAACUCAAACCCCACCUUAAAUUAAAACAAACCAUGAUAAUUACGACAAUUGAUGAAAAUCAAAUGUAAGGAUUAAUAUGCGACGAAUAAUCACGAAUCCCAGCGCCUUCCCAGCCCAUCCACUCCUCCCACAUGUCCCAAUCUGGAUCGUACAUUCCUCUCAUCUGCUCAUCGUCCUCAUCGCCACCGUACAUUCUCCUCUCGUUAUUCUCCGCGGCCUCCUCUUCUUCUCGUAACCUAUUCAUCAAAGCCUCGUACGCUUCGUUUAUUUGAUGAAACUGGACCCCACAGUUGUUCCCCCUACACACAUCCGGAUGAUACUGCGACACAAAAUAAAUCGUAACCGUUAUAAAUAAUACACAAAUCCGUGAAUGACACGAAAUAAAAAUUAGUCAAAUUAAUCAGAAAUUAAUCAAAUAAUUAAUUGAAUAAUCAAAGAUUCAACCUAUUCCACAAAAUCACCAAUUUUUAGAACAAUGAUCAAGAACAUUAAUUUAGACAAAUUAAUACACAAAUCCGUGAAGACACGAAAUAAAAAUUAGUCAAAUUAAUCAGAGAUUAAUCAAAUGAUUAAUUGAAUAAUCGAAGAUUUAACCGAUUCCACAAAAACAAAUUGAACAAUGAUCGAGAACAUUAAUUUGGACAAAAUUAUUCAUUUAUCGAGAUUUAUUGAAAAACAAAAUUAUUUAUUUAUCGAGAAUUUAAUAUGUACCUGCAGUGCGAGGCGUCGGAAGGCUUUUUUGACUUCGGAUUCGGAGGCACCGGGAUGAACGUUGAGAGUUUUGUAAGGAUCAGAAGAAACGGGGCUAUACAUGGAAUUAACCUUGAAUCGAUUAUUCUUCUUUUUUCUCGCUAAAUCUCUCUGAAACGAAUUCGAUCUCGAUGAGCACGAGCCACUGCCGCCUAAUAAUCCCCCAACAGCUGCCAUUUUUUCUUAAAUCGAAGAUAAAUUGUGUCUAUAAUUUUGUAUGUGUGUAUAUUAGUUGUGGAUUGGAUAAGCGAGUUUUGAGGAGAGGUUGAAAUGAAUAUAGAGAUUGGAUAGGAAGGUGGGUGUAUAUAUAGAGAGAGAUGUGGGGAGAGAGAUUGGGAGAGAGAGAGAUUAGACGGAAGCUGUGGGUUAAGGAGAUAAAAGCGAAUGUCAUU